UUUCAUAAUAGUACAUAGCCUCCUUAUGUAUGGUGAUGCCAAGCUGCAUAAAAGUGGAGCGUCAGCUUCACGAUAUGCGAAUAUUGGGUAGAAUUGUGGGAGUACGAAGUACGGAUCAAUUCGUAUGGCA
Molecule: small RNA, 130 nt
Filed under: Roseburia sp. CAG:50
Lineage: Bacteria; Bacillati; Bacillota; Clostridia; Lachnospirales; Lachnospiraceae
Description: Clostridiales-1 RNA
Rfam family: Clostridiales-1 RNA
Source: Rfam by way of RNAcentral